CAAAAUGUAGCUUAACACAAAGCACCUCGCUUACACCGAGAUAAUGUCCAUGAGACCUGGAUCAUUUUGA
RNAcentral lists this transfer RNA (70 nucleotides) under Allophryne relicta. Its description in RNAcentral is "tRNA-Val". It matches the Rfam family "tRNA". From Rfam's summary of the family: Transfer RNA (tRNA) molecules are approximately 80 nucleotides in length. Their secondary structure includes four short double-helical elements and three loops (D, anti-codon, and T loops). Further hydrogen bonds mediate the characteristic L-shaped molecular structure. tRNAs have two regions of fundamental functional importance: the anti-codon, which is responsible for specific mRNA codon recognition, and the 3' end, to which the tRNAs corresponding amino acid is attached (by aminoacyl-tRNA synthetases). tRNAs cope with the degeneracy of the genetic code in two manners: having more than one tRNA (with a specific anti-codon) for a particular amino acid; and 'wobble' base-pairing, i.e. permitting non-standard base-pairing at the 3rd anti-codon position. The record is from RNAcentral. Lineage: Eukaryota; Metazoa; Chordata; Amphibia; Anura; Allophrynidae.